RNAcentral lists this ribosomal RNA (250 nucleotides) under uncultured bacterium. Its description in RNAcentral is "partial 16S ribosomal RNA". It matches the Rfam family "Bacterial small subunit ribosomal RNA", at positions 524 to 773 of the family's 1533-position model. The record is from RNAcentral.
UACAGAGGGUGCGAGCGUUAAUCGGAAUUACUGGGCGUAAAGGGCGCGUAGGCGGUUAUAUGUGUGGGAUGUGAAAGCCCCGGGCUUAACCUGGGAAGUGCAUACCAAACUGUAUAGCUGGAGUAUAUGAGAGGGUAGUGGAAUUUCCGGUGUAGCGGUGAAAUGCGUAGAGAUCGGAAGGAACGCCGAUGGCGAAGGCAGCUACCUGGCAUAAUACUGACGCUGAGGCGCGAAAGCGUGGGGAGCAAAC